AGCAGCAGCCGCGGGAAUACGUAGGUCCCGAGCGUUGUCCGGAUUUAUUGGGCGUAAAGCGAGCGCAGGCGGUUAGAUAAGUCUGAAGUUAAAGGCUGUGGCUUAACCAUAGUACGCUUUGGAAACUGUUUAACUUGAGUGCAAGAGGGGAGAGUGGAAUUCCAUGUGUAGCGGUGAAAUGCGUAGAUAUAUGGAGGAACACCGGUGGCGAAAGCGGCUCUCUGGCUUGUAACUGACGCUGAGGCUCGAAAGCGUGGGGAGCAAACAGGAUUAGAUACCCCAGUAGUCCCUGUCUCUUAUACA
Molecule: ribosomal RNA, 303 nt
Filed under: uncultured bacterium
Lineage: Bacteria
Description: partial 16S ribosomal RNA
Rfam family: Bacterial small subunit ribosomal RNA
Source: RNAcentral